CACCCCCUCCUCCCUCCCCUAGCCGGCAUCUUCUUCGCCUCUGUAGCCUCCUAUAUUUUAAAAAAAAAUUCUCAGCAAUUUCAUUUCUUUUUAGUUUUUCUAUAUUGUGAGUUCUUGGUGUUGUUGUUACGUUGACUAGCCGAAAUCGUUGGAGUUAGUGAUGGUGGCGGUGACAUUUUUUUGAUGAAAUUUUGCGGAAAAUAAUUUGAUUUAGCAUGAAUCGGAGCUUUGUGAGCUGGAUUAGAGCUUGUUGGUGGUUGGUUGGAGAAGUUUUUUCGACUGAAUUUUCUGAUGGGUGUGUUUUCCGGCAAGUCUCGACGGAAAAUCAGAACUAGGGAGUAUAUUUUGCUGCUAAAUUUCAAAAAAAAAAAAAAAACUUCACUAAGAAUCGAAUUUUCAAGGACCCCAAGUGAAAAAAUAUUUCAAUCAAAUUGUUCAAAGAGAGUUCAUUAAGUCAAACCUCAAGGCCCAAAAAUGGGUAAGAAGUCAGAGAAAGGAAGAAAGGUGAGAAAAGGAAGCUAGUACAUAGGGUGGAAGAUGAAUGCAAAAAUAGGAUAAAAAAUUCAAUAAAAGUUGAGGAUUAAAUUCGGACAAGUCUAAAAGAGUUCAAAAUUAUUUUCUCAACUUCUCUCAUUUAUUUAUCUGCAAAUUUAUAUUUUACUAUUUAUGUGUAUAAACUCUUAAAUUUGAUUAAUAUAAAUAAAUUUUCUCAAAAUUGCU
This 720-nucleotide long non-coding RNA is filed under the name Capsicum annuum. Its description in RNAcentral is "long non-coding RNA (CANN_LNC004877)". Lineage: Eukaryota; Viridiplantae; Streptophyta; Magnoliopsida; Solanales; Solanaceae. The record is from RNAcentral.